CUUUAUAUAACACAAAAUACACUAACAGAUUUAAAAUUCAUUCAAAUAAGGUACAGCCUAUUUGAAACAGGAUACAACCUCUCACAGAGGGUAAUGCUUAUCAUAAGCGUGAUUAAGUGGGCCUAAAAGCAGCCACCUUUUAAAAAGCGUUAAAGCCUAAUCACACUAAAUUAUAAAUACCCAUCUAAGCCCAAAACCCCUUAACCCCUACUGAAUGACUUCAUACCUUUAUGAAAAUCCUUAUGUUAGAACCAGUAACAAGAAUAAUUAUUCUCCUACAAAUGUAAGUGUAAGCCGAAAUGGAACCCCCAUCGACACUCACCGCCAAUGAGCCAAUAGUAAUAACCCCCCCCAAGAAAAUCUUACUCCUCCCAGCGUUAACCUUACACAAGAACUUUUCUGGAAAGAUUAAAAAAAGAGGAAG
Molecule: ribosomal RNA, 424 nt
Filed under: Hylophorbus proekes
Lineage: Eukaryota; Metazoa; Chordata; Amphibia; Anura; Microhylidae
Description: partial 16S ribosomal RNA
Source: RNAcentral